RNAcentral lists this ribosomal RNA (641 nucleotides) under Leifsonia sp. I13A-01608. RNAcentral's name for it is "bacterial SSU rRNA". It matches the Rfam family "Bacterial small subunit ribosomal RNA", at positions 93 to 748 of the family's 1533-position model. Lineage: Bacteria; Bacillati; Actinomycetota; Actinomycetes; Micrococcales; Microbacteriaceae. The record is from RNAcentral.
UAGUGGCGAACGGGUGAGUAACACGUGAGUAACCUGCCCUUGACUCUGGGAUAACCUCCGGAAACGGAAGCUAAUACCGGAUAUGACGCACGGAGGCAUCUCCUGUGCGUGGAAAGAACUUCGGUCAAGGAUGGACUCGCGGCCUAUCAGGUAGUUGGUGAGGUAACGGCCCACCAAGCCUACGACGGGUAGCCGGCCUGAGAGGGUGACCGGCCACACUGGGACUGAGACACGGCCCAGACUCCUACGGGAGGCAGCAGUGGGGAAUAUUGCACAAUGGGCGCAAGCCUGAUGCAGCAACGCCGCGUGAGGGACGACGGCCUUCGGGUUGUAAACCUCUUUUAGUAGGGAAGAAGCGAAAGUGACGGUACCUGCAGAAAAAGCACCGGCUAACUACGUGCCAGCAGCCGCGGUAAUACGUAGGGUGCGAGCGUUGUCCGGAAUUAUUGGGCGUAAAGAGCUCGUAGGCGGUCUGUCGCGUCUGCUGUGAAAUCCCGAGGCUCAACCUCGGGCCUGCAGUGGGUACGGGCAGACUAGAGUGCGGUAGGGGAGAAUGGAAUUCCUGGUGUAGCGGUGGAAUGCGCAGAUAUCAGGAGGAACACCGAUGGCGAAGGCAGUUCUCUGGGCCGUAACUGACGCUG